GCCAGUGUGGUGUAGUGCUUUGAACAUUGGGCUAUGACUCUGAAGACCAAGGUUCAAAUCCCAGCUCGGCCA
Molecule: non-coding RNA, 72 nt
Organism: Phrynosoma platyrhinos (Desert horned lizard)
Lineage: Eukaryota; Metazoa; Chordata; Lepidosauria; Squamata; Phrynosomatidae
Source: the annotation of a GenBank genome assembly